Molecule: ribosomal RNA, 481 nt
Filed under: uncultured bacterium
Lineage: Bacteria
Description: partial 16S ribosomal RNA
Rfam family: Bacterial small subunit ribosomal RNA
Source: RNAcentral
GAUGAACGCUGGCGGCGUGCUUAACUCAUGCAAGUCGAACGAAGCACUUUAUUUGAUUUCCUUCGGGACUGAUUAUUUUGUGACUGAGUGGCGGACGGGUGAGUAACGCGUGGGUAACCUGCCUUGUACAGGGGGAUAACAGUUGGAAACGGCUGCUAAUACCGCAUAAGCGCACGGCAUCGCAUGAUGCAGUGUGAAAAACUCCGGUGGUAUAAGAUGGACCCGCGUUGGAUUAGCUAGUUGGUGAGGUAACGGCCCACCAAGGCGACGAUCCAUAGCCGACCUGAGAGGGUGACCGGCCACAUUGGGACUGAGACACGGCCCAAACUCCUACGGGAGGCAGCAGUGGGGAAUAUUGCACAAUGGGCGAAAGCCUGAUGCAGCGACGCCGCGUGAGCGAAGAAGUAUUUCGGUAUGUAAAGCUCUAUCGGCAGGGAAGAUAAUGACGGUACCUGACUAAGAAGCACCGGCUAAAUACGUG